CCUACGGGUGGCAGCAGUGGGGAAUAUUGGUCAAUGGACGAGAGUCUGAACCAGCGAAGUAGCGUGAAGGAUGACUGCCCUAGGGGUUGUAAACUUCUUUUAUAUGGGAAUAAAACGUUCCACGUGUGGGAUUUUGUAUGUACCAUAUGAAUAAGGAUCGGCUAACUCCGUGCCAGCCGCCGCGGUAAUACGGAGGAUCCGAGGGUUAUCCGGAUUUCUUGGGUUUAAAGGGAGCGUAGGUGGAUUGUUAAGUCAGUUGUGAAAGUUUGGGGCUCAACCGUAAAAUUGCAGUUGAAACUGGCAGUCUUGAGUACAGUAGAGGUGGGCGGAAUUCGUGGUGUAGUGGUGAAAUGCGUAGAUAUCACGAAGAACUCCGAUGGCGAAGGCAGUUCACUGGACUGCAACUGACACUGAGGCUCGAAAGUGUGGGUAGCAAACAGGAUUAGAUACCCGAGUAGUC
RNAcentral lists this ribosomal RNA (460 nucleotides) under uncultured bacterium. RNAcentral's name for it is "partial 16S ribosomal RNA". It matches the Rfam family "Bacterial small subunit ribosomal RNA", at positions 338 to 795 of the family's 1533-position model. The record is from RNAcentral.